GAUGAACGCUGGCGGCGUGCCUAAUACAUGCAAGUCGAGCGAACAGACGAGGAGCUUGCUCCUCUGACGUUAGCGGCGGACGGGUGAGUAACACGUGGAUAACCUACCUAUAAGACUGGGAUAACUUCGGGAAACCGGAGCUAAUACCGGAUAAUAUAUUGAACCGCAUGGUUCAAUAGUGAAAGACGGUUUUGCUGUCACUUAUAGAUGGAUCCGCGCCGCAUUAGCUAGUUGGUAAGGUAACGGCUUACCAAGGCGACGAUGCGUAGCCGACCUGAGAGGGUGAGCGGCCACACUGGAACUGAGACACGGUCCAGACUCAUACGGGAGGCAGCAGUAGGGGAUCUUCCGAAAUGGGCGAAAGCCUGACGGAGCAACGCCGCGUGAGUGAUGAAGGUCUUCGGAUAGUAAAACUCUGUUAUUAGGGAAGAACAAAUGUGUAAGUAACUAUGCACGUCUUGACGGUACCUAAUCAGAAAGCCACGGCUAACUACGUG
Molecule: ribosomal RNA, 497 nt
Filed under: uncultured bacterium
Lineage: Bacteria
Description: partial 16S ribosomal RNA
Rfam family: Bacterial small subunit ribosomal RNA
Source: RNAcentral